This 828-nucleotide ribosomal RNA is filed under the name Triticum aestivum (bread wheat). RNAcentral describes it as "partial small subunit ribosomal RNA". The record is from RNAcentral. Lineage: Eukaryota; Viridiplantae; Streptophyta; Magnoliopsida; Poales; Poaceae.
AUGUCGCAGCCGCUCAAUUCCUCCCGGGAUGCUUCCAAUCCCCCUGCUACACACAGGGUAUUGAUAACGAACAAGCAUGGAGAGAAACUUGUGGGGCUGCUGCAUCCCACGGGUUUGAAGAGGAUUGUAGUCUUGUGCCAUGGCUUUACGGCCUCCAAGAGUUCUGGCGUUAUUGUUGAUCUGGCAGAUGCAAUAAUAAAACAAGGGAUUAGUGUUUUUCGCUUUGACUUCAGUGGAAACGGAGAGAGCGAAGGCGUUUUCCAGUAUGGCAACUACAGGAAAGAGGCUGAAGACUUGCAUUCUGUUGUCUCAUAUCUGUAUCAGGAGAAGUAUGAUGUAGCAGCUGUUGUUGGUCACAGCAAAGGAGGAGAUGUGGUUGUUCUUUAUGCUUCCCUAUAUGACGAUGUCCGUAUGGUUGUUAACCUAUCCGGCCGAUUUUAUUUGGAGAAAGGCAUUGAGGAACGCCUAGGGAAAGAAUUUCUUGACAGAAUAAAUAAGGAAGGUUACAUUGAUGUCACAAACAAGUCAGGAAAUGUUUUAUACAGGGUAACAAAAGAGAGCUUGAUGGAACGACUGAACACUGACAUGCGUGCAACAAGCCUCUCCAUUAGCAAGGAAUGCAGCUUCUUCACAGUUCAUGGUUCUGCUGAUGAGAUCAUUCCUGUGGAAGAUGCAUAUGAGUUUGCAAAGCAUAUACCGACCCACAAACUGUGUGUCGUCGAGGGAGCAGAUCACUGCUACACUAGACAUCGUAAAGAACUUUCUGAUGCUGUAGUGGGUUUCAUUACAUCCAACAAGGCCAGGGAUACCACGCUAGAAGAUCAAUGA